RNAcentral lists this microRNA (24 nucleotides) under Mus musculus (house mouse). RNAcentral describes it as "mmu-miR-6915-5p". Lineage: Eukaryota; Metazoa; Chordata; Mammalia; Rodentia; Muridae. The record is from miRBase by way of RNAcentral.
AGGUCAGAGCAGAUGGAGGUUCGU